This 491-nucleotide long non-coding RNA is filed under the name Oryctolagus cuniculus (rabbit). RNAcentral describes it as "lncRNA (ENSOCUG00000033903.1)". The record is from RNAcentral. Lineage: Eukaryota; Metazoa; Chordata; Mammalia; Lagomorpha; Leporidae.
AAAAACAGUCCUUCAACCAUUUCCAUUUCAAAUCAGCCUACUUAAAACAUGCGGUUAUUUGAAACUUUAAUUUAAAGACUACUUUCAUAAUAAACCACUAUUAAAUUAUCUAAUACAUCAAUAAGCUUUUUAUGUAAACAGAGUCUAGUUUUUAUUUCCCUUUUUGUUUCCAAAAGCUGGCAAUGCUAUUCAAUUCCAUGAAGCAUCACAGAAGCCAAAAGAAAGAGAAAAGGCAGUGCCCAGGGUACUGAGAGCAAGUGCUCCAUGUCCUCUCCCAGGGCACUGAGAGCAAGUGUUCCAUUUCCUCUCCCAGGGUACUGAGAGCAAGCUACUCCAUGUCCUCUCCCAGGGUACUGAGAGCAAGCUACUCCAUGUCCUCUCCCAGGGUACUGAGAGCAAGCUACUCCAUGUCCUCUCCCAGGGUACUGAGAGCAAGCCCUACUCCAUGUCCUCUCCCAGGGUACUGAGAGCAAGCCCUACUCCAUGUCCUC